RNAcentral lists this ribosomal RNA (829 nucleotides) under uncultured bacterium. Its description in RNAcentral is "bacterial SSU rRNA". It matches the Rfam family "Bacterial small subunit ribosomal RNA", at positions 59 to 888 of the family's 1533-position model. The record is from RNAcentral.
CAGUCGAACGAGGGUCCUUCGGGACUCGAGUGGCGAACGGGUGAGUAACACGUAGGGAACCUGCCCGUGCGACCGGGAGAACUUUCGGAAACGGAAGCUGAUACCGGAUAGGGACAGAGACGGCAUCGACUCUGUGUUAAAGGAGCUGCAAGGCUCCGCGCACGGAUGGACCUGCGGUGCAUUAGCUAGUUGGUGAGGUAACGGCCCACCAAGGCGACGAUGCAUAGCCGGCCUGAGAGGGCGGACGGCCACACUGGGACUGAGACACGGCCCAGACUCCUACGGGAGGCAGCAGUAGGGAAUUUUCGUCAAUGGGCGCAAGCCUGAACGAGCAAUGCCGCGUGAACGAGGAAGGUCUUCGGAUCGUAAAGUUCUGUUGAAGGGGAAAAAGAGCGGAGAGAGGAAAUGAACUCCGAUUGAUAUUACCCUUCGAGGAAGUCACGGCUAACUACGUGCCAGCAGCCGCGGUAAUACGUAGGUGGCGAGCGUUAUCCGGAAUGAUUGGGCGUAAAGGGUGCGUAGGCGGCCUGCUAAGUCUGGAGUGAAAGGUACCGGCUCAACCGGUAUAGGCUCUGGAAACUGGCGGGCUAGAGAGCAGGAGAGGGCGGUGGAACUCCAUGUGUAGCGGUAAAAUGCGUAGAUAUAUGGAAGAACACCAGUGGCGAAGGCGGCCGCCUGGCCUGUUACUGACGCUGAGGCACGAGAGCGUGGGGAGCAAAUAGGAUUAGAUACCCUAGUAGUCCACGCCGUAAACGAUGAGGACCAAGUGUUGGGGAAGACCCAGUGCUGCAGUUAACGCAGUGAGUCCUCCGCCUGGGGAGUAUGCACG